This 468-nucleotide ribosomal RNA is filed under the name uncultured bacterium. Its description in RNAcentral is "partial 16S ribosomal RNA". It matches the Rfam family "Bacterial small subunit ribosomal RNA", at positions 28 to 507 of the family's 1533-position model. The record is from RNAcentral.
GACGAACGCUGGCGGCGUGCUUAACACAUGCAAGUCGAACGGAAAGGCCCUGCUUUUGUGGGGUGCUCGAGUGGCGAACGGGUGGGUAACACGUGAGUAACCUGCCCUUGACUUUGGGAUAACUUCAGGAAACUGGGGCUAAUACCGGAUAGGAGCUCCUGCUGCAUGGUGGGGGUUGGAAAGUUUCGGCGGUUGGGGAUGGACUCGCGGCUUAUCAGCUUGUUGGUGGGGUAGUGGCUUACCAAGGCUUUGACGGGUAGCCGGCCUGAGAGGGUGACCGGCCCAAUGGGAACUGGGAUACGGCCCAGACUCCUACGGGGGGCAGCAGUGGGGAAUAUGGCACAAUGGGCGGAAGCCGGAUGCAGCAACGCCGCGGGCGGGAUAACGGCUUUCGGUUGGUAAACCGCUUCCGCCUUGAACAAACCGGGAGUGACGGUAAGGGGUAAAGAGGCACCGGCUAACUACGGG